UGAGCAAUCUGCCCUUCUCAUCGGAAUAAGCGUUGGAAACGACGUCUAAUGCCGAAUACGACCUCCUUUCGCAUGAUCGGAGGUGGAAAGCUCCGGCGGAGAAGGAUGGACUCGCGGCCUAUCAGCUAGUUGGUGAGGUAACGGCUCACCAAGGCGACGACGGGUAGCUGGUCUGAGAGGAUGGCCAGCCACAGUUGGGACUGAGACACCGGCCCAGACCUGUACGGGAG
This 230-nucleotide ribosomal RNA is filed under the name uncultured bacterium. RNAcentral describes it as "partial 16S ribosomal RNA". It matches the Rfam family "Bacterial small subunit ribosomal RNA", at positions 118 to 347 of the family's 1533-position model. The record is from RNAcentral.